CCUACGGGGGGCUGCAGUGGGGAAUAUUGGACAAUGGGCGAAAGCCUGAUCCAGCCAUGCCGCGUGUGUGAAGAAGGCCUUCGGGUUGUAAAGCACUUUCAGUGGGGAAGAAAGCCUUGGGGCUAAUACCCUCGAGGAAGGACAUCACCCACAGAAGAAGCACCGGCUAACUCCGUGCCAGCAGCCGCGGUAAUACGGAGGGUGCGAGCGGUAAUCGGAAUUACUGGGCGUAAAGCGCGCGUAGGCGGUCUGAUAAGCCGGUUGUGAAAGCCCCGGGCUCAACCUGGGAACGGCAUCCGGAACUGUCAGGCUAGAGUGCAGGAGAGGAAGGUAGAAUUCCCGGUGUAGCGGUGAAAUGCGUAGAGAUCGGGAGGAAUACCAGUGGCGAAGGCGGCCUUCUGGACUGACACUGACGCUGAGGUGCGAAAGCGUGGGUAGCAAACAGGAUUAGAUACCCCGGUAGUC
Molecule: ribosomal RNA, 465 nt
Filed under: Vreelandella stevensii
Lineage: Bacteria; Pseudomonadati; Pseudomonadota; Gammaproteobacteria; Oceanospirillales; Halomonadaceae
Description: partial 16S ribosomal RNA
Rfam family: Bacterial small subunit ribosomal RNA
Source: RNAcentral